AUGGGGACCAAAACUCUUAUUCUGAUCACCGUGGCCAUGACCAUGCUUGGGACGGCGCUUGGUGCCAGCCACACCGUGGGCGAGCCGGACGGGUCGUGGGACCUUCAAACCAACUACUCCUAGUGGGUUUCGAGAAUGAGGUUCACCACCGGCGAUGAGCUCAAGUUCCAGUACUCCACCGCCGUGCGCAACGUGGUGGAGGUGAGCAAGACGGGGUAUGACUCUUGCAACUGCUCCAGCCCCAUAGCGACUUUCCCGACCGGUAACGAUGUUGUUCCGCUUGCCAUCGCUGGGACCCGAUAUUUCAUCUGCGGUGUCUCUGGGCACUGCGAUGCCGGCAUGAAGGUCAAGGUCAACGUCAAGCCGCCCUCCCCCGCGCCGGCCAUCCUCCCCCGCGCCGGCCCUCUUCCAUCGAGAGGUACUCCUCCCUCCUUUCUCCUCCUCCUCCCUCCCUAG
This 456-nucleotide ribosomal RNA is filed under the name Triticum aestivum (bread wheat). RNAcentral's name for it is "partial small subunit ribosomal RNA". The record is from RNAcentral. Lineage: Eukaryota; Viridiplantae; Streptophyta; Magnoliopsida; Poales; Poaceae.